CCUACGGGCGGCAGCAGUGGGGAAUAUUGCACAAUGGGGGAAACCCUGAUGCAGCGACGCCGCGUGAGUGAAGAAGUAAUUCGUUAUGUAAAGCUCUAUCAGCAGGGAAGAAGAAAUGACGGUACCUGAGUAAGAAGCACCGGCUAAAUACGUGCCAGCAGCCGCGGUAAUACGUAUGGUGCAAGCGUUAUCCGGAUUUACUGGGUGUAAAGGGAGCGCAGGCGGCACGGCAAGCCUGAUGUGAAAGCCCGCGGCCCAACCGCGGGACUGCAUUGGGAACUACCGGGCUGGAGUGCCGGAGAGGUAGGCGGAAUUCCUAGUGUAGCGGUGAAAUGCGUAGAUAUUAGGAGGAACACCAGUGGCGAAGGCAGCCUACUGGACGGUGACUGACGCUGAGGCUCGAAAGCGUGGGGAGCAAACAGGAUUAGAUACCCGUGUAGUC
RNAcentral lists this ribosomal RNA (442 nucleotides) under uncultured bacterium. RNAcentral describes it as "partial 16S ribosomal RNA". It matches the Rfam family "Bacterial small subunit ribosomal RNA", at positions 338 to 795 of the family's 1533-position model. The record is from RNAcentral.